GGCGUAGGGCGCGAGCGUUGUCCGGAUUUAUUGGGCGUAAAGAGCUCGUAGGCGGCUUGUCGCGUCGAAUGUGAAAUCUCAGGGCUCAACUCUGACAUUGCAUUCGAUACGGGCAGGCUCGAGUUCGGUAGGGGAGACUGGAAUUCCUGGUGUAGCGGUGAAGUGCGCAGAUAUCAGGAGGAACACCGGUGGCGAAGGCGGGUCUCUGGGCCGAUACUGACGCUGAGGAGCGAAAGCGUGGGGAGCGAACAGG
Molecule: ribosomal RNA, 253 nt
Filed under: uncultured bacterium
Lineage: Bacteria
Description: partial 16S ribosomal RNA
Rfam family: Bacterial small subunit ribosomal RNA
Source: RNAcentral